Molecule: non-coding RNA, 82 nt
Organism: Obba rivulosa
Lineage: Eukaryota; Fungi; Basidiomycota; Agaricomycetes; Polyporales; Gelatoporiaceae
Source: the annotation of a GenBank genome assembly
GGCUCAAUGGUCUAGUCGUAUGAUUCGCGCUUCGGGCGUUACUGCUUGCGCGAGGUCCCGGGUUCAAUUCCCGGUUGAGCCC